AUCUGUCUAACAUCGCAUGGUAUGUUAUCUUAUCUCGCUGUAUAGCCAAUCACAGACUCUGUUGUUACCAGUUCCCAGUAACCUACAUCAGACAACCAAUAAGAGUUGUGUCCAUGGCUUUCAGUCAAAUAGAGGAGUUCAUAGGUGUUCCCAGGGGGUCCGUGCUAUUCAGGAUUGUUGGGAUAUCCCUCCCUCAAUCAACUAUACAUGUAAAAUGGUUAAGUUUAGUGUUAGUUAGGGGUUAUAGUUUAGGGUUCAGGGUAGAGACAUCCUAAGGAAUCUGGAUUGCAGUGACUGUUCAUAGAGUGAGAGAAGGGCACGUUAUUUGAGAGCUCGGCGGCAACACAGACAUUCAUUUUGUUUUGUUUUUUUACAAGCGACAGAAGCGAUUUUCGAGAGUGUCUGCCCCAGAUAAUUAUUUUCAACGACUCUAAGGAAACUAUCAAGAUCUCCCUGAUCCGAUUGAGUAGACCGAGUUUUGAAAUCAGUGAAAUUUGAGUAUGCUGGCUAAGGAGAUGGAGAAAAAAAGCCUGUCUCCGGAUUACAUCUUCAAACUAAGGGCAACCAUGGCAUCCGACAGGAGACGCGGCCAUCCAUGAUGUAUAUAGCCAAGAAGUGAUGAGCCAGAGCAACCAAUCAGCGUCACUGUAGCUGUUCUACCCACCACCCACACAGCUCUCCCUCUACAAGCAACCACAUCCUCUUCUCCUGUUCAAUUAAUUUGCCAGCACACUGAAAAGGACUGUACAUGCAUACCUCUGUGCCCAUCUCAUUGCAACAUGAUCCAUCCAAGGUCAAAGCUGGAAGCCUAAAAUGUGAGAAAUGUAAACAAGUAGUGUGUGUUGUGUAUGGAUGGCGUUCCAAGAAAAGACACGAGAAAAGGGCAAAGUAGAUUGUGAUGAGAGUGAGAGCAUACAGUAUGAAAAUAAAGACCCCAUGGGAUCUAAAAUGAGUGGGGGUGCCCUCGUCUCCUUUUUAUUCCUUUGAGGAUACUACAGUCACCCCUGGUGGAGGUUCU
Non-coding RNA from Oncorhynchus mykiss (rainbow trout), 1018 nucleotides. NCBI's taxonomy places the organism in Eukaryota, Metazoa, Chordata, Actinopteri, Salmoniformes, Salmonidae. The record is from RefSeq and is a predicted model, not a curated record.